This 624-nucleotide ribosomal RNA is filed under the name uncultured bacterium. RNAcentral describes it as "bacterial SSU rRNA". It matches the Rfam family "Bacterial small subunit ribosomal RNA", at positions 863 to 1501 of the family's 1533-position model. The record is from RNAcentral.
AGUAUUCCACCUGGGGAGUACGGCCGCAAGGUUGAACUCAAAGGAAUUGACGGGGCCCGCACAAGCGGUGGAGCAUGUGGUUUAAUUCGAUGAUACGCGAGGAACCUUACCAGGGCUUAAAUGCAGAACGACCGGGAUGGAUACAUCCCUUUCUUCGGACGGUCUGCAAGGUGCUGCAUGGUUGUCGUCAGCUCGUGCUGUGAAGUGUCGGGUUAAGUCCCAUAACGAGCGCAACCCCUAUUUCUAGUUGCCAGCGGUUCGGCCGGGGACUCUAGAGAAACUGCCAGCGUAAGCUGUGAGGAAGGUGGGGAUGACGUCAAAUCAUCACGGCCCUUACGUCCUGGGCCACACACGUGCUACAAUGGUGGGGACAACGAGUCGCGAACCCGCGAGGGUAAGCUAAUCUUCAAACCCCAUCUCAGUUCGGAUCGGAGUCUGCAACUCGACUCCGUGAAGUUGGAAUCGCUAGUAAUCGCGUAUCAGCCAUGACGCGGUGAAUACGUUCCCGGGCCUUGUACACACCGCCCGUCAAGCCAUGGAAGCUGGGGGCGCCUGAAGUCGGAUACCGCAAGGGUCUGCCUAGGGCGAAACUGGUAACUGGGGCUAAGUCGUAACAAGGUAGCC